GUGCUUGGUUCAGUAGCACAAAUAGAAAAAUCAAAAUGGUACAGAGAAGAUUAGCAUGGCCCUUGCAUAAGAAUGACACAUAAAAACCAAAUAGAGCCUUCAAUAUUU
RNAcentral lists this small nuclear RNA (108 nucleotides) under Microtus ochrogaster (prairie vole). Lineage: Eukaryota; Metazoa; Chordata; Mammalia; Rodentia; Cricetidae. The record is from RNAcentral.